Cydia amplana is the source of this 1353-nucleotide long non-coding RNA. RefSeq lists it as uncharacterized. The record is from RefSeq and is a predicted model, not a curated record. The transcript has 3 exons. Lineage: Eukaryota; Metazoa; Arthropoda; Insecta; Lepidoptera; Tortricidae.
UUUCGGGACUGAAAGGUCUAACCCAUUAUUAUUUAAAUAUACAUUUAGUUCAUUCAAACUAGCAUUUAUGAGUUCACAGGCCUUUUGUACGGAUUUAUUUCUUGAGUAGAGCACUAUGUCAUCGGCAUAUUGUAAAAUUGAUAUAUAAUCUGGCAAAUUGGAACUAAGGUCGUAUGUAUAUACAUUAAAAAGUAAAGGGCUAAGAACAGAACCCUGUGGUAGUCCUUUCCAAACUGUCCUGUGAAAUACUUUAUCAUCUAAAUCUAACCUAAUCGUCCGUUCAUAAAACAUAGCAGCAAUAAUAUUACACAAGCGUUCAGGAACUCCCAAGAGGAACAACUUAUUUACAAGAAUUGAUAUAUUUACAUUAUCAUAGGCCGAAUUGAUGUCUAUAAAACAAGCUACGACAUAUUCCCGUUUCGAGAAGGCUAAAAGGAUAUCAGAAACUAACAAACCCACACAGUCUAAAGUGCUUCUGCUUUUGCGAAAACCAUAUUGAAUAUCGGGUAAUAAUUUUUUACUCUCAAUAAACCACUCUAACCUAUUUUUAACUAAAUGUUCUAAAAUCUUAAUUAAAACAGAAGAUAACGCAAUUGGACGAUAAGAAUUUGGAUCAUUACGGGGUUUAUUCGGUUUGAGAAAGGGUAACACCAACUGUAUUUUCCAAUUUGGUGGAAUGUCACCUGUCAUAAAAAUCCCGUUGAUAAUAUUAAGAAAGUAACCUAUAACGUUGUCACUAGAAUGUUUCAAAAAUGAAUAUGGAAUACCGUCGCAUCCUGGUGCAGAAUCAAUAACAUAUGAUAAGACAUUCUUUAGCUCUAAAAACGAAAAUGGACUGUUAAAAGGCUGCACGUUAUCAUUAUCAAUAUUGGGCGAGGAAGCCAGUUCAGGACACACAGGGAAUGGGACAAAUGAAGGAGCUAAUUUAUCUAAAAAUUUCUCGGCUACUGGAGGAUCAAGAUUGAUGGCGUUAUUUUCUACAAAAGCUCCUCUAAACAUUCUAACCUUCCUCCAAACUUCUGACGGCUUCUGAACAUUCAGAAUCCCACCAUGGAGGGCUGGGAAUAUUGAAUUUAGAGGACUUCUUACGAGGAAAUACUUCAUCAGCUAUAUUAAUUAUAAACUUAGCAAAAGCAUCAGAAGUUUUAAACAAAUUUUCACGAGAUACAUCGGGAAAAGAAAUGAGAAUUGGAAAAUGAUCACUGCCAUAGGAAAGUGGAAGUACCUCCCACAGUAAGGAGUGUGAUAUGGAAGAGCUACAAAUUGAUAAAUCUAAUGCACUAGGAUUCUCAUUGGGAGCAGACCGACGCGUAGGAACACCAGAAUUCAAUAUACAUAAAUUAUAAUAAUCAA